This 471-nucleotide ribosomal RNA is filed under the name uncultured bacterium. Its description in RNAcentral is "bacterial SSU rRNA". It matches the Rfam family "Bacterial small subunit ribosomal RNA", at positions 355 to 825 of the family's 1533-position model. The record is from RNAcentral.
UGGGGAAUAUUGGACAAUGGGCGAAAGCCUGAUCCAGCCAUGCCGCGUGUGUGAAGAAGGUCUUCGGAUUGUAAAGCACUUUAAGUUGGGAGGAAGGGCAGUAAAUUAAUACUUUGCUGUUUUGACGUUACCGACAGAAUAAGCACCGGCUAACUCUGUGCCAGCAGCCGCGGUAAUACAGAGGGUGCAAGCGUUAAUCGGAAUUACUGGGCGUAAAGCGCGCGUAGGUGGUUUGUUAAGUUGGAUGUGAAAUCCCCGGGCUCAACCUGGGAACUGCAUCCAAAACUGGCAAGCUAGAGUAUGGUAGAGGGUGGUGGAAUUUCCUGUGUAGCGGUGAAAUGCGUAGAUAUAGGAAGGAACACCAGUGGCGAAGGCGACCACCUGGACUGAUACUGACACUGAGGUGCGAAAGCGUGGGGAGCAAACAGGAUUAGAUACCCUGUAGUCCCUGAGCGGGCUGGCAAGGCGCAU